Molecule: ribosomal RNA, 260 nt
Filed under: uncultured bacterium
Lineage: Bacteria
Description: partial 16S ribosomal RNA
Rfam family: Bacterial small subunit ribosomal RNA
Source: RNAcentral
CGUGUCGUGAGAUGUUGGGUUAAGUCCCGCAACGAGCGCAACCCUCGCCCUGUGUUGCCAGCACGUCGUGGUGGGAACUCACGGGGGACCGCCGGGGUCAACUCGGAGGAAGGUGGGGAUGACGUCAGAUCAUCAUGCCCCUUACGUCCAGGGCUUCACGCAUGCUACAAUGGCCGGUACAACGGGAUGCGACCUCGUGAGGGGGAGCGGAUCCCUUAAAACCGGUCUCAGUUCGGAUUGGAGUCUGCAACCCGACUCCA